GGAUUAUGGCUCAGUGGUCGAGCGCUUGCCUAGCAUGUGUGAGGCACUGGGUUCAAAUCUCAGCACCA
RNAcentral lists this transfer RNA (68 nucleotides) under Marmota monax (woodchuck). RNAcentral's name for it is "tRNA.Ala". Lineage: Eukaryota; Metazoa; Chordata; Mammalia; Rodentia; Sciuridae. The record is from RNAcentral.